Molecule: ribosomal RNA, 497 nt
Filed under: uncultured bacterium
Lineage: Bacteria
Description: partial 16S ribosomal RNA
Rfam family: Bacterial small subunit ribosomal RNA
Source: RNAcentral
GAUGAACGCUGGCGGCGUGCCUAAUACAUGCAAGUCGAGCGAACAGACGAGGAGCUUGCUCCUCUGACGUUAGCGGCGGACGGGUGAGUAACACGUGGAUAACCUACCUAUAAGACUGGGAUAACUUCGGGAAACCGGAGCUAAUACCGGAUAAUAUAUUGAACCGCAUGGUUCAAUAGUGAAAGACGGUUUUGCUGUCACUUAUAGAUGGAUCCGCGCCGCAUUAGCUAGUUGGUAAGGUAACGGCUUACCAAGGCAACGAUGCGUAGCCGACCUGAGAGGGUGAUCGGCCACACGGGAGCUGGGACACGGUCCAGACUCCUGCGGGAGGCAGCAGUAGGGAAUCUUCCGCAAUGGGCGAAAGCCUGACGGAGCAACGCCGCGUGAGUGAUGAAGGUCUUCGGAUCGUAAAACUCUGUUAUUAGGGAAGAACAAAUGUGUAAGUAACUAUGCACGUCUUGACGGUACCUAAUCAGAAAGCCACGGCUAACUACGUG